CCAAAGGCUCUUUUAACAGCCACACAAAUAAUAUUAAAAUAGCAU
Molecule: non-coding RNA, 45 nt
Organism: Myotis davidii
Lineage: Eukaryota; Metazoa; Chordata; Mammalia; Chiroptera; Vespertilionidae
Source: Rfam